UACAGAGGGUGCAAGCGUUAAUCGGAAUUACUGGGCGUAAAGCGUGCGUAGACGGUUAUUUAAGUCGGGUGUGAAAGCCCCGGGCUCAACCUGGGAAUUGCAUUCGAGACUGAAUAGCUAGGGUACGGUAGAGGGAAGCGGAAUUUCCGGUGUAGCGGUGAAAUUCGUAGAUAUUCGGAAGAACACCAGUGGCGAAGGCGGCUCACUGGUCCGGUACUGACGCUGAGGUGCGAAAGCGUGGGGAGCAAACAGG
This 253-nucleotide ribosomal RNA is filed under the name uncultured bacterium. Its description in RNAcentral is "partial 16S ribosomal RNA". It matches the Rfam family "Bacterial small subunit ribosomal RNA", at positions 524 to 776 of the family's 1533-position model. The record is from RNAcentral.